ACGCUGCUCACUUAGAGUCAUUCGGUGGGAAAAUAACUUUAUUUGAAAUCCAACAUCUAAAGGGAAACAAAGUUCAGCGUUAGGCAAGAACUUACAUUAUCGUUAGCCCCUAUUUAACUUGUACACGUAUUUGACAAAUAAAUGAUAACGAUGCUUCCUUUAGUGUCCAAUGCAUCAUCAUUAUAUAGCGCCUAGAAGGCAACUAUAUAAAUAGUCGAUUUCCAUUUUUCCGGAACGAUUCCAACAGUACUAUCGAUCAACUAUAUCUCUUCACCUUAUAAUUUCUAUUUUUAUUAUAUCGUAUAAAAUAUAGUCAAAUACUACAAUCAUGUUUCAGGCUUGUUUUAUUUCCAGUGGCAGCCGCUCUGGCGAAAGUCAAGCGGACGUCUGCUUUGUGGAAAGGAAGACAUACUCGUCUGCAUACAUAUGAGCUGUAUUGUACGUUUUUUCGCGGUGAAUUGAAAGCCUGUUUACAUUGUAUUUGAUUUUCUAUGAAAGUCAAUUUCCAUUUAUUUAUAUAGCACUACAACAAUUAUUAUCUGUCAUUCUUUACGCAAACUGUUUGCAUCGGUUAGUCUAUGACCUGACGGCAGAACUCGGUUGUAGUACAUCUUCAAGCCUGACUCAAAGGAAACCACGAAAAUGCUAGCUUCCUGAGAAAUUCUAGUAAGCUAAAAGUCAAAUGACGAUUCUCUAAUUGGGAUCUGCGUAGGUCCGAGCAUACUACCCUUACUAGCUAUUAACAGGCACAAUUUUCACCGCUCUUAAUUAUCCGCAUAUCUAACAUUGGCGUCUUUGUCACAUUUGUUUUUUCGUGACUGAAAGCAGCCCUUGCUAUUUUUUUUAACGGAGAACAGAACUCAGUCACCAAAGUGACGUGAUGAGGAAGCCUAUCGUGUAUUCUUAGACGCCUUUCGGAUUUAACAAUCUUGGCAUCUGGUACAACAUAAACUCAAACAGAGUCUUCCCUCUCGCUGGUGCCUUUGACGCGAGUUUUCGAUAAUGACUGGGGGGAAAAAUGCGGUCCAAGUUUUUUCUGCGUCACCCUGCUCACAUGUGAAACAGGCGAACAUGAUGUUCUCGCGGAUCUAAGCGUUGUUUGUUUCUGAUACACGCACUUUGUACUGGAUACAGAUAAUGUCCAGUAUAUUCGAGUCUCGAUUGGUAACCCCUGCCGUCCAGUGGUAAUUGGCCUUCAUUUGCUUCAGCACUCUGAAAGAGUAUUUAA
Molecule: long non-coding RNA, 1228 nt
Filed under: Varroa destructor (honeybee mite)
Lineage: Eukaryota; Metazoa; Arthropoda; Arachnida; Mesostigmata; Varroidae
Description: uncharacterized LOC111251813, transcript variant X1
Source: RNAcentral